GAUGAACGCUGGCGGCGUGCCUAAUACAUGCAAGUCGAGCGAACGGACGAGAAGCUUGCUUCUCUGAUGUUAGCGGCGGACGGGUGAGUAACACGUGGAUAACCUACCUAUAAGACUGGGAUAACUUCGGGAAACCGUAGCUAAUACCGGAUAAUAUUUUGAACCGCAUGGUUCAAAAGUGAAAGACGGUCUUGCUGUCACUUAUAGAUGGAUCCGCGCUGCAUUAGCUAGUUGGUAAGGUAACGGCUUACCAAGGCAACGAUGCAUAGCCGACCUGAGAGGGUGAUCGGCCACACUGGAACUGAGACACGGUCCAGACUCCUACGGGAGGCAGCAGUAGGGAAUCUUCCGCAAUGGGCGAGAGCCUGACGGAGCAACGCCGCGUGAGUGAUGAAGGUCUUCGGAUCGUAAAACUCUGUUAUUAGGGAAGAACAUAUGUGUAAGUAACUGUGCACAUCUUGACGGUACCUAAUCAGAAAGCCACGGCUAACUACGCG
This 497-nucleotide ribosomal RNA is filed under the name uncultured bacterium. Its description in RNAcentral is "partial 16S ribosomal RNA". It matches the Rfam family "Bacterial small subunit ribosomal RNA", at positions 28 to 507 of the family's 1533-position model. The record is from RNAcentral.